RNAcentral lists this small nucleolar RNA (148 nucleotides) under Ursus maritimus (polar bear). Its description in RNAcentral is "Small nucleolar RNA SNORA73 family (ENSUMAG00000003523.1)". Lineage: Eukaryota; Metazoa; Chordata; Mammalia; Carnivora; Ursidae. The record is from RNAcentral.
CCAACAUGGAGGCCCCUGGGCCCAGGAGCGCUAGAGGAGUGUAGGGCUCUGCCCUGAGGUACAGGCCUUUGCCACAACGGUGGAGAUAAAGCUCAGCCUGCAUGUCCCUUCGGACGAUGGCUGAGGAGAAACAAUGCAGACAGCAUCU